Oncorhynchus tshawytscha (Chinook salmon) is the source of this 1090-nucleotide long non-coding RNA. NCBI's taxonomy places the organism in Eukaryota, Metazoa, Chordata, Actinopteri, Salmoniformes, Salmonidae. The record is from Ensembl.
GGUUACCAAGAGUGCAAGAGAGUCAGGGUGUACACAUUACUAGGGUGGCCUUUAUUCUCCUCCAGUACCUCCAGGAGUGCAGUUCAGUACAUUUCAGGUGAUGUUUCAUAUGAGUUUGACCUAAAACAUAAUUUUAUUCAGGGCCUGUCUUCCUGUCUUGACCUAUGCCUCAAGGCAUUUACACAGAGGAAGAGGUCAGUCGGUGUGGACAACUGACACAUUUUCUUUUGCAAACACAACUAUUAUUUUUCUAAAGUAAUGUAUUAAAAAAAAUAAUAAUAAUAAAAAAAAAAAAUGAAUGGUCAGAAUAAAUGGUCAGGACACUAUUGGUCACUUUAUCUUCUGCAGUCAGAUUUUCUAUUAUAGUAUUCCCCAUCUACACACUAUCCCUACUGAAGCUCACUCAACAAAACGUAGGAGGUGAUCGUGGACUACAGGAGACAGCGGGGAAAGCAGUCCCAAUCCACAUCGACGGGGUCACAGUAGAGAGGGUGAGAAGCUUCAAGUUCCUCCGUGUGCACAUCACUGACGACCUGAAAUGGUCCCUUCACACAGACACAACCUCAGGAUGAUGAAGAAAUUCAGCUUGGCCCCUAAGACCCUCACAAACCUCUACAGGUGCACCCUUGAGGGCAUCCUGACAGGCUGCAUCACCACCUGGUAUGGCAAUUGCACCGCCCACAACCGCAGGGCUCUACAGAGGGUGGUGUGGUCAGCCCAACGCAUCAUCGGGGGCACACUGCCUGCCCUCCAGGACAUCAACAGAACUCUGUGUCACAGGAAGGCCAAGAAGAUCAUCAAGGACCUCAGCCAACCGAGCCAAGGCCUGUUCACCCCGCUACCAUCUAGGAGGAGACAGUAGAGGUGCAUCACAGCUGGGACCGAGAGACUUAGCUUCUAUCUCAAGGCCAUCAGACUGUAAAACAGUUACCACUAGCCAACCUCCGCCCAGUACCCUGCCCUGAACCUUAGUCACUGUUACUAGCUGGCUACCACCCGGUACUCUACCCUGCACCUUACCGAGACUGCUUUUCCCUAUCUACAGUCAUUGAACACUGGUCACUUUAAAAAUGUUUACAUACUGUUUUAC